AUGCUUGACAUUCCUUGAUAUUGGUAUCAAUUUGUUGUAAAAUAGAAAUUGAAAAUGUAGCAGUUUUACCAGUUCCUGUUGAACAUUCCACAAAUUAGAAACGAAAUUCUAUUAUUUCUAUAUCAAAGCAUAUAUUAUGAUUUUGUUACCUGAUUGUGCCUGCGCGAUCACAUCGUGUCCUCUUAUACAUGGCAGAAUGGCACGUUGUUGAAUUGCAGAUGGUUUUUCAAAGCCAUAAGCAUAAAUACCACGUAGUAAUUCUUCUUUUAGGUUCAUUUCAUCAAAGUUGUCAACGACCUAUUGGAUUCGAUGAUCCCAUCGGGCUCCAUGCCAGGGGGGCCAUCGUAUGUCUGUUGAUCACUUUCACUAGGACCAUUUUUGGAAUCUCCUGCCCAUUGAUCAUCGUUUCUGAAAUACAAAUGACACAUAAGAAUAAAAAUUUGAUUUUUAUUUUAAAUAUAUAACUGUAUAAUUUACAGUAGAAUAUAUCUAAAAAAAAAUUUAUUUCAUUUAUAGCAUUUAAUUUUUUAGUUCUAAUCAGUGGUACCAGGAAUGAAUAAACUGUUCCAGUAACUUGCAUUAUAUGUUUACUCCAAAAUCAAAUGUAUAAAUAAUGUUGAAUCCCAGCGACCUUGAACCGUAAAAAUCCGACAUAGUAUUUCAAUUUCGCGACGAAUGUUAAAAGGUAUUUUAUCUCAAUAAAAUAGGAAUUCUUCGUUAAAAAGUGUCUGAUUUCCUAUAAAUGUAUCAACAAUGCCUUUAGAUAAUCCUGCAGAUAUGAUAAUGAAUUUAUCGAUGACUUGAUAGAUGCGUUGACAGUGACUCACGCGAAAGCAUGCCCCAGCAAGACGAGUCUCGAUUGUAUGAGACAUAAUGCCUACAAUUUUAUGUAGCAUUGUUGAACAUUAUUCGAUUCGCACCAUUUUUACUAGCCUUACCAAAGAAAAUCCAUUUUUUAUUACGUAAUUUUAAAUGCAAAGUAAAACGUGUUUGCAAGUACGAGUAGAGAGCAUGCAGUUCCUAUAAUAAAAUUUCUCAAAUAUAUUUUUCUGAGAGUUUGGCGACCUACCGUAUGGAUACCCAUUAUGACUUCUAAUCACAACAAUUAUAGAGGUUAUAAAAAUGAAGAAGUACGAGGGAUUAACGUUAAUUUUUUGAACAAUGUGACAAAAAUGAAUGCACGCCAUGUUGUCAGUCUCGUGUCCCAUGCAUUCGCUGAUUGCGGCACUAUUUUUUAAGGAUAUAUCGUGAAGUGUUGACGUCCAACCGCGUGUCGCGCCAGAUUUACAGAGGCACAACG
Molecule: unclassified non-coding RNA, 1300 nt
Filed under: Bombus terrestris (buff-tailed bumblebee)
Lineage: Eukaryota; Metazoa; Arthropoda; Insecta; Hymenoptera; Apidae
Description: misc RNA ENSBTSG00005034138.1
Source: RNAcentral